AGCGACACACGCCCAACCCCUUCCUCUCCUAGCCGAGUCCCCCAUAACGCAGCGGCGCGCAGCACCUCCACACUGCAACGCGGACACACGCACUGCGAGCACGCUGCAUGUUGCACGCUGCACGUUGCGCGCUGCACGCUGCAGGCGGGCGCUCGCUGCACGCUGCACGCUGCACGCUGCAGACGACGCAACGUGCGCACCAAAUCAUACAGUGAUACAGACAAAUGUAUUGAUUGCUAACAACGACGCAGCGAUCACAACAACCAGCCAUGUUGCCAACAACACUGACAACACUCACAACAAUACGAGCAACAUUAUGUGCAAAUUUGUUGUAAAAAUCAUAUAUUUGUAUAAUGAUUUGAACAAGUACUAACUUCUGAAAUCAAACAAAAUGGUUUGUCAGAUAUAAAAAAAAAUUAAAACACGCAAAUAACCGCAAUAAAAAUACGAAUUGAAAAGCAAACAGAAUACUAAGAGAAGAUAUAUUUAAUGACAGAACAUUUUGGUUAUUUGUUAGCAAUAAAUAUAAAAUGGACAAUUUCUUACAAUGCGAUAUCACCUGGUAAACUUGACAGAAAAUUGUCCUCUCUCGUCACAAUUCAGUGAGGACCUGACAGAACGACUUUCUGUUCAUCCUAAUAGUAACGUAAGAGCUUAAAAGACACCAAGCUUUUUUUUAAUUAUUUCACAAUAAACAAUGUCUAGUUGUAACUCAUCAAAGGCUCAUGAAUUUUAAUAAAAUUAUUAAUUCUAGUUUACACUAAAAUAAUCAUGUUUAUAUGAUUAAUACGAGUUAAUUCAGUGCAGUGCUAUUUAAAACAAAAUCAUGUAAAUAUAUAAAAGGACGAUAAUCUGCGAAUUUAUUUUUGACAGUGUGAUACAGUCAGCUGCAUAAUUUAUCAUAAAUUUACAAAUUUAAAUAUACUUCCCAUUUUAACAACACAUACACAUUUUUGAAAUUGAAAGUGUAUACAAGUUUCUAAAGCUUCAAAAAUGGAUACAUAUUUAUGCAGCUGACUGUACUUUGAAUCAAUUAUUUUGAAGGAUAAAAAAUACUAUAUUGAAAAUGUCUCAAAUUCAGUGAUUUUAGUAUCAAUAGUGUGGACAUGUGGUUAAACUUAAUUACAAUUAGAUUGUCGACUGGUGACUAUUUGAUUCGUCGAUUUAACCGUCGAAUUCCACUGAACAAAAGGAAAAUGAGCGGGAUGACCAUGUUUUUGUAAGUGUUCAGACCAGCGUUUCUCAAAGUGUGCGCUGCGGAGCCCUGGACCUUUCUUGAUGGUCCAUAUAAAUCUGAUACGGAAUAUAAUAAAAAAAAACAAUCGAAUUGGGAAUCUUCUCCUUUUUAAAGUCUUUUAAAAAAAUUAAAAGGGUAUCAUAGGGUUUCCUCAAUUACUUUUAUUCCAAAAAUGUUCCGCAGUCAAAAAAAAAGUUGAGAACCGCUGGUUUAGACAGAAAACUACGGAGAUGUACUAAAUCUUAUGUGAAGGGUUUAUGUAAGGUAUUGUGUAAAAGCAUUUCCUCAGAAUUAACUAUUUAUAAUACACCCCUUGUUGUGGGGGUGUCUGUCAUAUUUACACAAUACUAUCGUGAUAAUUAGUUCCAAUUUAUUAAUUAUAAAAUUUUACAACGCAUAUCUCAUACGUUUUAUACACAGGUAAACGAACUGCCCAACAAGAUGGAUUUCCAUCGGACCAGGUUUUGCAAAAGCUUGCAAUUUAAUAAAGCAAUAAUAGUUAUAUAAUAAUAUUUAAUAUGUCAGUUAUACUAAAUUACGAAGCCUCCGUAUGUUAAGCCGAAUGUAUUUAGACAUGUCUGGAUCGAUGGAAAGCCGCCUUGAGACUGAAGCUUACACUGCGGUAAGUGCCUAGGAUUAUAUGAAAGUGGUGCGAGACAAUGCUCGUGUGCGCUGGUACACAAUCGUCCAUUGCCCGACGUCGCGGGGACUCACUUGUGAUUCGUGCCUUAGUACACUGUUUAGUAUCAAAUAUGACUUGUCUCCGCGCGCUUGCCGCCCGGCGCCUGUCACUGCCACUGUCACCGUCGCCGUCACCUGUCAAAGUGACGUAUCGCGUGACAGCCGCGCUCGGGCCGGCCGGUGGCUUUAGGUAAAUUGUCGUGUGCAUCUGUAAAUUGUGUCCUCGGUGUAAAUUAAAUUUAAAUUAGAAACAUAACUUCGAUCAAAAGUAAAGUGGUUAGAGUAUAUAUUUUUAUAGCGGCCAUUUUGUUCAGUUACCAGGGAAUAUUAGCUUCGAGUGGUGUGUUUUCUGAUGGAGAUUCCACAGAUUCCACGCACUGUUGCACCUGUCAGAUUUGACGUGGGCACCGCGCGGUAUCGUGCCGUCUCGCUCUCUCGCCGCAGUAUUAUACUUUUACUUUAAUUCGACGUUCACAUCUGUCCCGGGCAUAUAUUUUUUCAUUGCGUCGUUUUUAUUUUAUAAUUAACAGUAUUUUUGAAUGUUGAGAAUGUUUUAGCGAGCGAGACGGCAUCGGUUCAGCUGCAACAGUGCUUACGGACCUUUUGUGUGUGUUUGUGUGUCGUACGAAAUCUUACAAUUUUAUAUGAUGUCAACAAUCCUCAGUUUUCUUAAGAAUGGGAUUAUGCCAUUGAUAUGCUGAUAAAUAUAUUUUUUUGCUAAUUUAUGAUUGUAGCAGAAUUGGUGGUAGAUAAUCAGUUUAUGGGUUUAUUUGGCGGCGGCCUCGAGCUCGCAGACCUCAAUUUCGAUUUAGUAUUUGUUUUAGUUAAGAUAAAUUUAUUGCCGGCAACACUCGGCCGCCCGACUCGUUACAUUAACACAAUGUAUCAAUGCGGGCGGCGAGUGUUGCCACCACUGUAAUGUAACAAGGAGACAAGUGUUGCCUGUGCUGGGUUACUAUUGUCUACUUAUUUUAAUUCCUGGAUAAAAUCGACGCAAUGUAAACUAUCCAUGUACUGGCAACCCGUUUUGCAUCUUUGUUUUUUCGCUUUAUUUUCUAACUUGCAAUGAAAUGGUUAUCGAUUAUGUUUAUCAUUUAUGUAGAUAAAUUGUUUUUAGUAUAUUAAUUUUUGAUGAAUAAAAUGCAUCGCUGCUGAACCGGCGCGUCACCAGCUGCAGCGCUAGAGGGACAACUCUGUAAAGAUUAAUCUAAUUAUUUAAUUAAAAUGUAUAAGUUUUUCAAA
Long non-coding RNA from Papilio xuthus (Asian swallowtail), 3160 nucleotides. RefSeq lists it as uncharacterized. The transcript is spliced from 2 exons. Lineage: Eukaryota; Metazoa; Arthropoda; Insecta; Lepidoptera; Papilionidae. The record is from RefSeq and is a predicted model, not a curated record.